CAGCAGCAGACUUCUUGUGACACUUAGGUUUAUUAAAUGUCUCUUGUCUCUGUGAGUUAGUAUUUUAUUAUUUUCACCUGAAGAUGUUUUAGCUGAUGUGGGUGCCAAUUAUAAAUGUCCCUGAGGGUGGACUGACCCGUGAGGAAAGGAGUAAGAAUAAGACAAAGCCUGGAGAGAGAGAUCGUAUUUAAGAGGUAGAAGCUUUUCACUAUAUAAACUUUAAGGUUUCAUAUAAAUAAGUGACACAGAAAACUCUUUUUAAUCACACACACACACACACACACACACUCCUACAAGCUCCCUCCUGUGAACCACAUUUUCCACAGAGCAUAUGUUUCAAAUGAAAGGUCAAAAAGGAGAUUAAUGUCAGCGUGGAGUCCCAGGACAGGUGAUCAUUUCUCUAACAUGUUAUGCGGCUUGUUGCUAAAACAGAGUCCCUCCAAACUAAGCUGCUUGCUCAGUGAGUGCCUUAUUCCUCUUUCUCCAGGCCUUGGCCCCUCCCUGUGAUGGGUGAGGAACUCGGCUUAUUCCUGGGGACAGAGGCCUGCCACCAGAGAGGCCAUAGGCUGGAGCAAGGGCUGACUCACAGGGUAGCGAGGAAACGGCCUGGAUCUUUGACCAGGGGGCUGACUUCCGGUGAACACCGUGAACUCCGAACUAUGCCUAAGUGUGCGCUUCCGAAGAACCCAGGCUGGGCACACGGCUUCCUGUGGGGCUCCUUUCCCCCGCCCUUUCAAGCACUCAGAUUAUGCACUGCCCGUGUAACCAGUUCACUGCAUCAGCUGUUUAAAUACUGAAAUCAGCCUUAGUCAUUGCCUGAUAGAACGUUUUACAUCUCAAUUUGAGUUUAUAUUCAGAUUCGACUGAACGACUAACAGUUUCACGUUUUCCCUUUCAGGCCACCCCUCCUAAGCAAUCGCGUUAUGGAUGGGUCCCCAACUCAUACAAAAGUAUCAUAAAACAUUGGGGAGGCUUGUAACACUGCCCUUUAAAGAAAGGAGAGAGCCGACCAUGGAGGUGCCCCUGCAGCAGGUAAAACCAGUGAGCAGCCCACGAGUUGAGGUCCCCCACUGUCUCCUAAAGCUGAAACUCCAGUACUUUGGCCACCUCAUGUGAAGCGUUGACUCACUGGAAAAGACUCUGAUGCUGGGAGAGAUUGGGGGCAGGAGGAGAAGGGGACGACAGAGGAUGAGAUGGCUGGAUGGCAUCACUGACUCAAUGGACGUGAGUCUGAGUGAACUCCAGGAGCUGGUGAUGGACAGGAAGGCCUGGCAUGCUUCGAUUCAUGGGGUCGCAAAGAGUUGGACACGACUGAGCGACUGAACUGAACUGAACUGAACUGGUCUCCCUGCUUAUUAA
Molecule: long non-coding RNA, 1359 nt
Filed under: Bos indicus x Bos taurus (hybrid cattle)
Lineage: Eukaryota; Metazoa; Chordata; Mammalia; Artiodactyla; Bovidae
Description: lncRNA (ENSBIXG00005014712.1)
Source: RNAcentral